RNAcentral lists this ribosomal RNA (332 nucleotides) under uncultured Coriobacteriales bacterium. RNAcentral's name for it is "bacterial SSU rRNA". It matches the Rfam family "Bacterial small subunit ribosomal RNA", at positions 28 to 339 of the family's 1533-position model. The record is from RNAcentral. Lineage: Bacteria; Bacillati; Actinomycetota; Coriobacteriia; Coriobacteriales.
GAUGAACGCUGGCGGCGUGCUUAACACAUGCAAGUCGAACGAAGCACUGCAAAAGAAGUUUUCGGACAGUAUUUUGCUUUGACUUAGUGGCGGACGGGUGAGUAACGCGUGGGUAACCUGCCGUAUGCGAGGGGGACAACAGUUGGAAACGACUGCUAAUACCGCAUAAGCGCACGGUAUCGCAUGAUACAGUGUAGAAAAGAAUUAUCGGCAUACGAUGGACCCGCGUUGGAUUAGGCAGUUGGCGGGGUAACGGCCCACCAAACCGACGAUCCAUAGCCGGCCUGAGAGGGUGAACGGCCACAUUGGGACUGAGACACGGCCCAAACUCC